RNAcentral lists this ribosomal RNA (253 nucleotides) under uncultured bacterium. RNAcentral's name for it is "partial 16S ribosomal RNA". It matches the Rfam family "Bacterial small subunit ribosomal RNA", at positions 524 to 776 of the family's 1533-position model. The record is from RNAcentral.
UACGUAGGGGGCAAGCGUUACUCGGAUUUACUGGGCGUAAAGCGAGCUAAGGUGGUUUGAUAAGUCAGAGGUGAAAUCCCUUGGCCUAACCAAGGAACUGCCUUUGAUACUGUCAGACUUGAGGACAGGAGAGGAAAGUGGAAUUCCCGGUGUAGCGGUGGAAUGCGUAGAUAUCGGGAGGAACACCAGAGGCGAAGGCGGCUUUCUGGACUGUUCCUGACACUGACGCUCGAAAGCUAGGGGAGCAAACAGG